UGUUAAAAAUUUCAUCCAAUUCUACGGUUAAAAAUAGAUAUUGCUAACAGAAUAGCCAGACAAUUACAUAUGAUUGUCACGUGCACCUCAUUUUGAUAUACAAAGACUAAUUUUUAAUAAUAUGAAUGGAUAAAAUUUUUAACA
Gossypium raimondii (Peruvian cotton) is the source of this 144-nucleotide non-coding RNA. Lineage: Eukaryota; Viridiplantae; Streptophyta; Magnoliopsida; Malvales; Malvaceae. The record is from Rfam.